Molecule: non-coding RNA, 219 nt
Organism: Vicia faba (fava bean)
Lineage: Eukaryota; Viridiplantae; Streptophyta; Magnoliopsida; Fabales; Fabaceae
Source: the annotation of a GenBank genome assembly
AUGGAUAUUGUAUCUACCGAACCUGCUGCCACAGGGGAGAAAUCAUCAUCACAAAAACCAGUUAGCGCAAUACUUUCUACACAACUAACAAACUUUCUAGUCUGCACAACAGAAUACACCAGAAAAGGAGGAGGGAGUUCACAUUUUGUUUCACACGGAAAAUUCAUAGAAAAAAAAGAACCCCUAAUCGAAUUCCAACUUCAAAACAUAAUUUUUUAA